GCUGGAGGGAGUUGAGCAGGAGAGGACAGCGGGAGGCCUAAUACAUGCAAGUCGAGCGAGAAUUCCGAUUUCGGUUGGAAGGAAAGCGGCGAACGGGUGAGUAACGCGUACGCAACUUACCCUUGAGUGUGGAAUAGCCCUGGGAAACUGGGAUUAAUACCGCAUAUACUAUUGAAUUGGCAUCAAUUUACUAGUAAAGCUUCGGCGCUCAAGGAUAGGCGUGCGUUCCAUUAGCUAGUUGGUGAGGUAACGGCUCACCAAGGCGACGACGGUAGGGGACCUGAGAGGGUGGCCCCCCACAAUGGAACUGAAACACGGUCCAUACACCUACGGGUGGCAGCAGUAGGGAAUAUUGCUCAAUGGGCGAAAGCCUGAAGCAGCAACGCCGCGUGCGCGAUGAAGGCCUUCGGGUCGUAAAGCGCUUUUCUGAGAGAUGAGAAAGGACAGUAUCUCCGGGUCGCUGCUCCAGGUCAGCGGCAUGCGCCGCUCGGUUGGCUUGAAGUCUUCGACCCAGGUUUGCAGGGCACUGACCGGCAACACAUGGGGCUGGGUGGACGGCGCCUGGUUGCCGCUCACCAGCUCGGCCAUGUCCAGCUGGCGCAUGUGCCGUUUGCGCAGGGCUGCCGAACCGGUGAUACGGGCGGUGAUGGCGUUGGUCCACAGGUGCGGGCUGUAGCCGAUCCACACUUCCUUGGCCGUGUCCUGGCAGGUGUCGGCCCAUACCCAGCCCAUGCUCUGGCCAGACAGGUAGCGCUCACGGCGGUGGUAGUCCUCCAGCCCUUGGUAGCGCAGCUCCUUGUAGAGGCCCGCGCCGACGUGCUCGUGAAUGACCAGCUUUUCGCCCAGAGGGCCUUUCAUGAACACGUAGACAUAGCCCGGGCGCAAAGCGCGGAGGGUGUAGGCCGAGUGCUGCAGCGUGGGGAAGCCUUGUUCCAGGUUGAAGCCUGCAUCGGCAUAGCGGCAGGCGGGGGCGUCGCCGGUGCGGGGCACGAUGGCGUAGCGCACCGGCAGGAUGGGCACGCGUGCGCUGCAGGCAGGGCCAGAGGUGGCGCUACUGACGGAGGCGUCGCUCAUGUACGCUUCCUUUUUUGGGUUGAAUGCGCUGGUGCCUCCUCAAAUGCUUCGGGAGGCGGUGGCGCUGCUCGGACGUUGAACAGGCGGCAGAUGCCAUACCAGCAGAGGGCGACGGAGAGGUUGUAGGGGAACAGCACGGCCCAGAACGGCAAUUGCCAGUUCUUUUUACCCUGCAUUUCACCGGGCUCGCCGGUUCGCCAGGGGGCAUAGUGGCGCCAGGCUUCUGCCGGGGUCAGGCAGAUGGCGUGCAAUGGCUUGUGCCACCAGUUGGGCUCACCGGGCGGGGGGAGUUUGUUCGGGCCGUGAUCCAUGAAGUGGCGGAGGUAUUCCCAUACCUCGGCGACAUGCUUGACGCCGGGUUCGGUGGGUUCGUUGCUGUCGACCCAGAGGCAGUCUUUUUGGUGCAGGCUGCCGUCUUCCCGGCGGGGGGCGAAGGCGAGGGCAUAGCUGGUGCUGAAC
RNAcentral lists this ribosomal RNA (1533 nucleotides) under Pseudomonas putida DOT-T1E. RNAcentral's name for it is "Ribosomal RNA small subunit". The stretch from base 29 to 479 matches the Rfam family "Bacterial small subunit ribosomal RNA", at positions 39 to 536 of the family's 1533-position model. Lineage: Bacteria; Pseudomonadati; Pseudomonadota; Gammaproteobacteria; Pseudomonadales; Pseudomonadaceae. The record is from RNAcentral.